This 494-nucleotide ribosomal RNA is filed under the name uncultured bacterium. RNAcentral describes it as "partial 16S ribosomal RNA". It matches the Rfam family "Bacterial small subunit ribosomal RNA", at positions 28 to 507 of the family's 1533-position model. The record is from RNAcentral.
GACGAACGCUGGCGGCGCGCUUAACACAUGCAAGUCGAACGGACAGGCCUGCUUUCCCUUGUUGAUUGCGGGUACUCGAGUGGCGAACUGGUGCGUAACACGCGAAUCAUCUGCCCCCAACUUGGGUCUAAUCCUGGGAACCUGUGUCUAAUUCUCGAUAGAACUGCAGGGUUGUUCCUUUGGUGGAAAACGUUUUUCUAGUUGUUGGUGAUUCGCUCGCGGCCUAUCUGCUUGUUUGUGUGGUAAUGUCCUACCAAGUCGGCGACGGGUAGCCGGCGUGAGAGCGUGGACGGCCACAUUGAGACGGGGAUAAGGCCCAGACGCGUACGGGAGGUAGCAGAGGGGAAUAAUGCACAAGGGGCGGAAGGCAGAUGCAGCGAGGGAGCGUGGGGGAUGACGGCAUUCGGGUUGUAAACUCCUUGCGAACGAGAGGAAGGCAACUGGUUGGAAGGGUGGUGACGGUAGUGGUAGAAGAAGCACCGGCUAACUACGUG